This 468-nucleotide ribosomal RNA is filed under the name uncultured bacterium. Its description in RNAcentral is "partial 16S ribosomal RNA". It matches the Rfam family "Bacterial small subunit ribosomal RNA", at positions 28 to 507 of the family's 1533-position model. The record is from RNAcentral.
GACGAACGCUGGCGGCGUGCUUAACACAUGCAAGUCGAACGGAAAGGCCCUGCUUUUGUGGGGUGCUCGAGUGGCGAACGGGUGAGUAACACGUGAGUAACCUGCCCUUGACUUUGGGAUAACUUCAGGAAACUGGGGCUAAUACCGGAUAGGAGCUCCUGCUGCAUGGUGGGGGUUGGAAAGUUUCGGCGGUUGGGGAUGGACUCGCGGCUUAUCAGCUUGUUGGUGGGGUAGUGGCUUACCAAGGCUGUGAAGGGUAGCCGGCCUGAGAGGGUGACCGGGCACAUUAGGACUGAGGUAGGGACCAGACUGGAACGGGAGGCAACGGUGGGGAGUAUUACACAAUGGGCGGAAGCCUGAUGCGACAGCGCCGCGUGCGGAAUGACGGCCUUCGGGUUGUAAACCGCUUUCGCCUGAGACGAAGCGUGAGUGACGGUAAUGGGUAAAGAAGCACCGGCUAACUACGUG